AACUUUCAACAACGGAUCACUUGGCUCUGGCAUCGAUGAAGAACGCAGCGAAAUGCGAUAAGUAGUGUGAAUUGCAGAAUUCAGUGAAUCAUCGAAUCUUUGAACGCACAUUGCGCCCCUUGGUAUUCCAUGGGGCAUGCCUGUUCGAGCGUCAUCUACACCCUCAAGCUCUGCUUGGUGUUGGGCGUCUGUCCCGCCUCUGCGCGUGGACUCGCCCCAAAUUCAUUGGCAGCGGUCUUUGCCUCCUCUCGCGCAGCACAUUGCGCUUCUCGAGGUGCGCGGCCCGCGUCCACGAAGCAACAUUACCGUCUUUGACCUCGGAUCAGGUAGGGAUACCCGCUGAACUUAAGCAUAUCAAUAAGCGGAGGCU
Molecule: unclassified non-coding RNA, 370 nt
Filed under: uncultured Microdiplodia
Lineage: Eukaryota; Fungi; Ascomycota; Dothideomycetes; Botryosphaeriales; Botryosphaeriaceae
Description: sequence contains ITS2
Rfam family: 5.8S ribosomal RNA (bases 1-154)
Source: RNAcentral